This 18-nucleotide non-coding RNA is filed under the name Arabidopsis thaliana (thale cress). Lineage: Eukaryota; Viridiplantae; Streptophyta; Magnoliopsida; Brassicales; Brassicaceae. The record is from RNAcentral.
CACAUUCACGACACAAAG